UACGGAGAGUGCAAGCAUUAAUCGGAAUUAUUGGGCGUAAAGGGCGCGUAGGCGGAUCGAUAAGUCAGAUGUGAAAUUCCGAAGCUCAACUUCGGAGCUGCAUUUGAAACUAUCGAUCUAGAGGAUUGACGGAGAAAACGGAAUUCCACGUGUAGCGGUGAAUGCGUAGAUAUGUGGAAGAACACCGGUGGCGAAAGCGGUUUUCUAGUUUAUACCUGACGCUGAGGCGCGAGAGCAAGGGGAGCAAACAGG
RNAcentral lists this ribosomal RNA (252 nucleotides) under uncultured bacterium. RNAcentral's name for it is "partial 16S ribosomal RNA". It matches the Rfam family "Bacterial small subunit ribosomal RNA", at positions 524 to 776 of the family's 1533-position model. The record is from RNAcentral.